This is a long non-coding RNA of Telopea speciosissima, 409 nucleotides long. RefSeq lists it as uncharacterized. The record is from RefSeq and is a predicted model, not a curated record. The transcript has 2 exons. NCBI's taxonomy places the organism in Eukaryota, Viridiplantae, Streptophyta, Magnoliopsida, Proteales, Proteaceae.
AAUUUUGUGAUAUCUCGGUAAUCGACUUGGCCGGGUAGGAGAUCCACUUGGAUCGGCUGGCCAGCAAGUGAAUUGAUUUUCCGAGUUCUCACUGUUACAAACUCCAAAACCCUUACCCCUCAGGCUAAGAUCAGAAAUUAAGACUCUCUCUGGUACUCAUAUAUUGGAAAUAUUUCAGAGGUGAAUCAGUAAGGUGGAGCAUAAGUAAAGGGUGAGCACUAAGACUUUUGGGCGGCGACUGCUAAUUACUAUCUCUGCCAAUGGAUAAAAAGUCUGUUCGAGAAGCGAAAGCCCGGAAAAGUGAUCGGAUUAAAUUAAAGAGGAGGAAGGUGGAUGAUAAUGAAAAUCUCGUCAUAUCACCUGCCCAUAAUCAGAUACGUUGUGAAGAUGAACAAGAAGUAAAGUUCAU